ACACACAGGUGUUAAAAGCAGGGCAGACGAUAACACACACACAGGUGUUAAAAGCAGGGCAGACGAUAACAUACACACAGGUGUUAAAAGCAGGGCAGACGAUAACACACACACAGGUGUUAAAAGCAGGGCAGACGAUAACACACACACAGGUGUUAAAAGCAGGGCAGACGAUAACAUACACACAGGUUUUAAAAGCAGGGCAAACGAUAACACACACACAGGUGUUAAAAGCAGGGCAGACGAUAACAUACACACAGGUGUUAAAAGCAGGGCAGACGAUAACAUACACAGGUGUUAAAAGCAGGGCAGACGAUAACAUACACAGGUGUUAAAAGCAGGGCAGACGAUAACAUACACAGGUGUUAAAAGCAGGGCAGACGAUAACAUACACACACACACACAGGUGUUAAAAGCAUGGCAGACGAUAACACACACACACACAGGUUUUAAAAGCAGGGCAAACGAUAACACACACACACACAGGUUUUAAAAGCAGGGCAGACGAUAACACACACACACACAGGUUUUAAAAGCAGGGCAGACGAUAACACACACACACACAGGUGUUAAAAUCAGGGCAGACGAUAACAUACACACACACACAGGUUUUAAAAGCAGGGCAGACGAUAACACACACAGAGGUGUUAAAAGCAGGGCAGA
Oncorhynchus keta (chum salmon) is the source of this 663-nucleotide long non-coding RNA. RefSeq lists it as uncharacterized. The record is from RefSeq and is a predicted model, not a curated record. The transcript is spliced from 4 exons. NCBI's taxonomy places the organism in Eukaryota, Metazoa, Chordata, Actinopteri, Salmoniformes, Salmonidae.